AGGGAUCAUUCACAUGAUUUUACCUCAAACAAACUGUGAACUUUAUAUAUACUAUUCGUGUUAGUGAUAUUUAUAUCAUUCAACACUGUCAUUCGAUGAACAUUAGAUAGCUGGCUUGUUUGUUUAUUCAAACUUUCUCAGCUGAUUUGUUUUGUUAUAGACUAAACAUUUAUUUCAAACAAUCAACCAAAAACAUAGAAACAACUCUAUGCCCUGGAUAUCUUGGUUCUC
This 231-nucleotide unclassified non-coding RNA is filed under the name uncultured fungus. RNAcentral's name for it is "partial contains 18S rRNA, ITS1, 5.8S rRNA, ITS2 and 28S rRNA". Lineage: Eukaryota; Fungi. The record is from RNAcentral.